Crotalus tigris (Tiger rattlesnake) is the source of this 1281-nucleotide long non-coding RNA. RefSeq lists it as uncharacterized. The transcript is spliced from 3 exons. Lineage: Eukaryota; Metazoa; Chordata; Lepidosauria; Squamata; Viperidae. The record is from RefSeq and is a predicted model, not a curated record.
GAUGGCUUGGUGGUGUCCUAUAGAAGUACUGACUCUGCACAGCUUUUUGAAAUCAGUCAAAGUUGGCUGAGUGCUGCAAAUGUGGGUUAUUAAACUCAUAUGUCAGCUUUCCCCAGCCUAAAUUUUUUUCAGAUGAAUUAGGGAUACUGAUCCCAGACUUUCUAUCCACUUAAUAAGAGCCAAAAUGAGCCUAUGUCACAGUUUUGCUACUCCUCCCAUUUGACUUCAGAGUCAUUAUACUCUUAUGUCACUCAUUCCACCCCAGAUCCUUGGGGGGGGGGUUUGAAAAGAAAGCCAUAGAAAAUUUGCACGUAGGCACAUAUUUUAAUGCAUUUUUGCACCCAAUGACCAUUUCUCAAUGUUUUCUUACAGAAGACAUACGUAAGUCUUCCAAUCUCCAUCAAGAAGAAAUAAUUUUGAUUUGAGAACCACACUAUUUGGGAAGGGGAAAAAGGCAAGUAUGAGCAGAGAAAGAUGGAAAGUGCAAAGAAUGUUGGUUCUCUUUGAAAUGCAGACAAUAUGAAAUGCCUACAUCUUAACCUUACAUGUAACAUGCUUUGAUUUUCUGGGAUUUAACACUUUAUAGUCACAACCUGGACAAUGCUUUAUUUUCCAUUGUUUAACCUCUGUUUUUUUUUAGGACCCUGAAAUCCCUUGCUUUGGGGUGCAGUCAGGGUGGCUGAAUGGAGCUGAGCGUUUGCUGGCCAGAUGUCCUUUCUGACACCUACAUAGGGUUCACAGCAGAUAUUUUCUUUUUGCACCCUGAUAGAGAAACAUCUGUCACUGCCUAGGAUUGAACUCUCAACCUUCCAACUACGAGAGGGACUUCUCAGCCAACCUGCACUUCCAUACUUCAUCACUUCAGAUGGAUGAUGGAGAUUCUUUGGCUACAAUCUUCUCAAUCACAGCGAUCAGUGUUUCCAUGUUCUACAAGAGAUCUACAAGCAAACUUUUCUCCAUCUUCUGGAGACAAUAGGCAAUGAGAGAACCGUAGAAUACAGCUUCACCCUUCAUUCUAGGGUCUUCAAGAUUUCCAGGGUGUCUGCUGCUGAUCAAUACCUCCAAGGGAAUCUUAUUCUUUGGAUGCCAAUACUAAUUUGGUUGGCCUGUAUAAGUCAAGAAAAGGAGAAAUAAGAAAAGAGAUGAUGUGAAGAAACCCAGAAUGUUUAAUAUGACAGUAAGAGGUUGCAAUGUAUGGCUGUGAAAGUUGGACCAUAAGAAAGGCUGACCGCCAAAGACUUGAGGCCUUUGAACUAUGGUGCUGGAGAAGACUCCUGUAAG